Long non-coding RNA from Neopelma chrysocephalum (saffron-crested tyrant-manakin), 561 nucleotides. RefSeq lists it as uncharacterized. The record is from RefSeq and is a predicted model, not a curated record. Lineage: Eukaryota; Metazoa; Chordata; Aves; Passeriformes; Pipridae. The transcript has 4 exons.
ACUUCAGAGAGGUUCCUUCCAUGUGCCAUCUGUUUCCUUGCAACUGGGAAUGGUAGAAUAAUUUUCUGAAGAAUUGCUGACAAGAUGUGGCAGGGGAACAGUAAUCCAUAAAGACAAGAUUUCUCAUUAAAGUCACUCAGCUCGUCUGUGAUAUAGCAAGCUUUUGAUUUACACUGGUCACCUCUGGAGCAGGGAGGACAGUGGCUGUGGUUAUAUUACCCCAUCCUUCUCGCAGAUGGUCUGAGGAAAAUGUGAAAAUACAGCUGGAGACUAUAAGAAAAUCAAGAUCACAGCCCAAGAUCACUGCAGAAUUAUCACAUCAUCACACAAAUGAUCAAUGCUGGUUUUGAGUCCAGGAGGGAACCAAAUUUAAAAGGAAACUGCAUGUGCAUAACUUCAGAAUUUUAAAUGAGAGCUGCUGCUAAAAGGCUCAUAGGAAAAUCCUGGUACAUAUUGAGAUUGUUUUAAAAGAAUUAUGGGAAAUGACAGCAGUAGAACUAAAGUUCGAUUUUUCACAGAUGAAACUACAAAAUGCAUGGAGUAAUGUAAUCCAGUCAGACA